AUGGGGUUUACACAUAUUGCCCAGGCUGAUCUCGAACUUCUGGGCUCAAAUGAUUCCUCCUGCUUGGCCUCUCAAAGUUUUGGGAUUACAGGCGUGAACCACUGUGCCGGGCCACCAGUACUUCUUACAUAAUGCUUGCUGUAGCGAAUCUCUUUUUACUCAAGAUGCUAAAACUGGUGUUCAUGCAAUUAAAGACGAUAUGAACAUAGACAUUCAGAAGCAAUACUGUCAUCUUGAGAGCCAAUUACAUCAUUCCAGUGUCACAUUUCUAGAACCAAAAUGAGCCUGUGUCAGCUGCUAUAACAAAAUGCCUUAGUCUGGGUGGUUUAUAAAGUUUAUAAGCAAGAACUGUGAAUAAUAAAUUUGUUAUUAUAAAAAAACAACUUUCUUAUAGUUUCGGAGGCUGGGAAGCCAAUCAGUGUGCUGGCAUAUUUGGUGUUUGCAGAGGGUCUGCUUUCUGGUUCUUAAAUAGUGGCUUCUUGCUUUGUCCUCACAUGGUGGUUGGGGCAGGUCGGCUGUCUGGGGCCCCUUUUACGAGGGCAUUAAUCCCAUUCAUGAAGGCUCCACUCUCAUGACCUAAUCACCUCCCAAAGGCCCCACAUCCUUUCACACUGAUGAUCAGAUUUCAAUAUAUGAAUUUUGUGGCCAGGGUGACACAAACAUUCAGACCACAGCACAAAAGUUAGGGACAAUUUCUUAAGUAAUUGUGUGAUGCAGUAAACACAUGCAAAAAAAUAUCAAAAAUAAAGUGCACAGAGUUUUAGUCUGUGAGUAUGCUUCAGUGAAAUUAUAUCACCACUGACCACAAAAUCUUCAAAUCUGAGAGGUGAAGAAAUACUUUGUUACUAAUGGAGAAAAAACAAAUAUAAUUUGGUUGCAAACUCAUAAGUUGCUUCCUGUUCUAUAAUUUAAAAUAACUACUAUCUUAAAUUAGUAGUUUAAUGAGUGAGAGCAAUUUAGCACCUGAUAAUGCUGAGAAAUUGAUUCUGCACUGCAUUAAAUUUAAAAAAUGAGCUUUAAUAAAAUUACAGUAAUUUUUAAAUAUGAUUUCCUACUUAUUAAUGGAUUUUAGAAGCUUAUUUUAUGAUGGUAAUCUUCAGUUCAGGUCUUAGCCAAAUAAUUUCAAACCUUAGCCGUAGGCAUUUGGUCAGUAUGUGUAUUUAAGUGUACUAUGAAUGUGACUCAGUCACAUAUUACAACUGAGACAAGGCAAUCACCAAGGUCACAUACCUAAUACAGCUCCAUCUCCAGGCCACCCAUUUACCAAGUUUGUGGCCCUCAUGUAAGAGGUGACCAAGAUGCACCUGCACCAAGAGCACCAAGAGGAUUGUCUCAAUCCUUAAGAGAAAGAAGGUAAGGGCUGGGGAUGAGGGAUGCACUUAAACCAGAAAUGAGACAUGGACCUCUGUGGCUAGGAUCCUGACUUCAGAUUGCUAAUUUAUCCCAUUUUACUUAGGCCAAAAUGACAGGCUGAACACUUUUAUUGGAAAUGAAACAUUCCAGAGUUAGAAAGGUUUACUUUGGACAGUCAAGGACAGCAAUGUGUAUGUUGUUUGGUUCAUGCAAAAAUGAAUGAAAUUUUAAUACACUUAAAGUUACUUUCUACUCUGAAAAUAAUAUCAAAGUAGAGUCAAUAAAUAUUAAAUUUCCUUCCAAUUCCACAGGACCAAUUAACUAAAAACAUAAUUUUUGUACUAAAGAAUAAAAAAUUUAAAAUCUCAAAUGCUUUUUCCCAAAAGCAGAGGUCAUGGCAAAUCUUCAGAGAAAGAGCACAUUGUCUAUUUGAAAAUUCAGGCUCAAGCCUUCAAAAGAAAUGAUGGUUCAUGCUGUCAUUUCAAGUGACUACAAAGAAGAAAUCAAAGAAAGGUGUAAGGAGUCACUACUUUAAGGAUUAGUCAGAAAAGUCUUAGGAAUAACACAGCUGAAGUCUCAGAAAGGCAAGUCAUUAUAAAAGAAUGGGCAUGGAUCAUGUACUAAAUUAAUCAGUAGGUUACAGUUCACUACCUUAUAGAAUUUGGGCUUCAUUUAGAAGGCCAGAUGGUAUACAAUAGACUUUACAUUUUCACAUUAAUGCAAGAGCCUAUCAGUGAAUUCAUGUUCAUUUCCUUUAUUAACCAGCCUAUAUUAGAUUUGAUUUGUGAACUCUGGCUACAUAAGCAAAGAAGAAAGCAAGCAAGCAAGUGAUCAGAAGCUAGCUCCUAGAGGGACCUUGAGCACUCCUCGUGACAGAGACACAGAUGACACACUUCUAAUUUCUCAAACAUGCCAAGUUUGUGCGUGCCUUCUGGGUCUUUGCCUUUACUGUUCCUCCCCUCAGCCCACUUGUGGUUCCUUCUAAUCCUUCAUGUACCAGCUCAAAUGUGUUCUCUUACACAGAUGACACUUUCUAAAGUAGUUUCUCCACUGUCUCCCCACAUCAUCCUGUAUACGUUCCUGUCACUAUCAGAAGUUUGCUCAUGGCUGGGGGUGGUGGCUCAUGCCUGUAAUCCCAGCACUUUGGGAGUGUGCCAUUACGCCUGGCCAUGAUAUUGUUAAAUUAGUUAUGGUAUCUAUAGAGGUAUCAAAAAGAAUAUCAAAGACAUUUUUUCUAUUAUUGAGUGAAAUAAGCAGAUUACAGGCCAGUAUGUACGGUAUGAUCACAUUAAUGUAGAGAAAACAACAAAAACAGUAUGUUGUUGUGUAAGUUUAGAAGAAAAUAAAACAAACAAGAUAUUAAAAAUAGUAGCUGUCAAUUUACUUUUAACUUUUUCCUCCAAGUUACCUCUGCCACGCCUCCUCCCCCACCUUUGCUAUAUGAGAGAAAAUUUGGACAAGAACAACUUCAGGUGACUACAAAGGAGUGAUACUUUUUCUCAGCCUAGCUGUGGUAAAGAAUGCCUUAUUUUCAUCCUUAUGCUCUUUCACAUAUGAUUCCAAAGUGUACAUAUCCAAAUGCCUACUUUACCUCUCAAGAUAUCAUUGCCAACAAAGUUAUUACCCCUCUAAGAUCCUAAUAUUUCAAAACAAACAGCAUUAAAUCUUAGUUUUGACUGUUCACUGUGUAAAUCAGACUAUUUCAGGUCUGAACUAUGCCUUUUUAAAAUUUCCCUUUUAAAAAAAUCUUUAUGGAACAACUACAAUUUUUCAACAGACAGUGAUAACUACUCCCUACUUUAAAUACAGGUUGGACAACUCAUACACAAAACAACAGUAUAAUCUUGUAGUACUUCAAUUUCAUUCUACUCUCUAUGUUUGAAGAAAGAAAAACAUUAUAACUGAGUUCACAGCAGCUUUGUUUUACCUUAACACAAGUUACCAGUGUAUACAUAAGAAGCUGUGAACAACAGAAGCUGUUUAUGAUAUUCAGAUACAAAGCUGUUGAGAAAGUCUCAACAAUGCCAGUCAAAGAGCAAAACAUCUGGUUAGUUUUCAAACUAAGUGAGCUGCUUUGCCCUCCAUGCCAACUAUUAAGCAAUAGGCCCUUGAUGUCUUUCCCAUUCAUUACUGACGAACAUAGCAGUUCUCAACAUUCUCACUAGUCCCAUGAUCACUCAAUUUUUUUCCCUUUUCUUUUAAAUAACUCUAUUUGGUUACAGAUUAAAUGAGCAAGUUGACAGCACACAAGUUUUCUUUAAGUUCUUAAUUUUUAAGAAGUACUGUGUAACUUUAUUUUCUAAUUUUGGUAUUUUUUUCAAUAAAAUGUUUUUCAAAACAUUUAAACAAAUCAUGUAAUAGCUGACCUGGUAUCGAAUGCUGUACUUCAGACAUUCCUAAACUAUUAUUUUUUAUAUUUUAAACUAAGUUUAAACAAAAACUUUGUUAUUACAGAAUGAAUAUCCAAGGAUCUUAAAGAAAUCAUUCAAAGUGUGAUACAGUCUAGUGUUUAUUUUAUGUUAUGGCAGGUACACUUGAAUUUCAAAAAUUUAAAACAUAUAUAAAAAGUGGUUAGGGACUAACAUUUGUAUCAACAGUUGAUAAAUGUCUAAGAUUGUUUAUUAUACAGCAGGGUACAAUGGUAGUGCUAAUGCCAACAGGGCACCAUGGAAGUUAGUCUAAAAAUUAUCCCUAGGCUUUAUACAAGCAACAACAUAUGCUGCUGUUUUUAGAAUUUUGGGAAAUGAUCUGCUUCUAACACUAAGCAGUUCUUUAACAUUUUAAAAUGUUAUACAGUGUUAUAGUAUUUAGUUUGGCAAAUGUUUCAAAAUAAAGUAGAAAUGUAUUCAUAACAUCACAGAAAUGCACAUCCAAUUUUGUUUUCAAUAAGAACCAUAGGUACAGAUCAGAACUCUUCCCUAUAUGAAAUAAUUUACACACAGAUGAAUGCUAUAAUAUCACUAUCUAAAAUAAUCACUAAAUACAAUUCUUUUUCAGAAAUAAACAAGCAAAGAUUUUUUUCAUUAUCAAAUAUCAAAAACAUGUUGAUAAUGUAUGUUGUUCAAAUAAAUGAUACUCUAAAAUUAUAGGAAUAAUCUCAGUGAAUUCAGUGAAUGUGCAACCUAAAUCAACCGGUAUACUGUAGUACAACCAUAUUAAGAAACCAAUGAUCAGAAAAUACAACCGUAUGAAAGAAAUUUAUAAUCCACAAAACUUUUUCAGGCCUUAAGGUAAAAUAGUUCCACAGUCUACAGGUAAAACCAAGGCAACAAAAACGCGUGCUUGUCUUGAAUAAGUAGGUAUUUUAUGCAGAA
Long non-coding RNA from Cercocebus atys (sooty mangabey), 4667 nucleotides. RefSeq lists it as uncharacterized. NCBI's taxonomy places the organism in Eukaryota, Metazoa, Chordata, Mammalia, Primates, Cercopithecidae. The transcript is spliced from 2 exons. The record is from RefSeq and is a predicted model, not a curated record.